CCGCCGGCCCCUCGCGACGAUAGACCGAAAACCCCGCCAGGGCCGGAAGGCAGCAACGGUAUUGGUCGACUCGGGUGCCGAGGCAAGCUGGCGGGGC
Molecule: signal recognition particle RNA, 97 nt
Filed under: Gammaproteobacteria bacterium
Lineage: Bacteria; Pseudomonadati; Pseudomonadota; Gammaproteobacteria
Also listed under: 2 other names
Description: signal recognition particle sRNA small type
Rfam family: Bacterial small signal recognition particle RNA
About the family: The signal recognition particle (SRP) is a universally conserved ribonucleoprotein involved in the co-translational targeting of proteins to membranes. Archaeal SRP consists of a 7S RNA and homologues of the eukaryotic SRP19 and SRP54 proteins. In most bacteria, the SRP consists of a 4.5S RNA and the Ffh protein (a homologue of the eukaryotic SRP54 protein).
Source: RNAcentral